GGAUCACUCUUCUUCUUCAAUGUAAUCAUUUUUCUCAUCUUUUCUCUAGCUUCACAGAACAUUCUCCUAAUGUCUUCUUCUUUCUCUCUGGUUUCUCUGAAGAACAUCCACAAUCUGUGGCUGUAAUAAGCUUCUUUGAAUGGCUUAUGUAGAGGAAUCCUGAAGACUCUCUUUUGGAAAUUUUCCUUUUAUUUUUCAUUAGCCCCC
Molecule: long non-coding RNA, 207 nt
Filed under: Brassica rapa (field mustard)
Lineage: Eukaryota; Viridiplantae; Streptophyta; Magnoliopsida; Brassicales; Brassicaceae
Description: long non-coding RNA (BRAP_LNC004325)
Source: RNAcentral